This 2147-nucleotide long non-coding RNA is filed under the name Canis lupus familiaris (dog). Its description in RNAcentral is "lncRNA (ENSCAFG00030013724.1)". The record is from RNAcentral. Lineage: Eukaryota; Metazoa; Chordata; Mammalia; Carnivora; Canidae.
AUGACAGUGCUGCUGCCGCUGGUAGCUAACAGGCCCGUGGCCAGGAUUUUCGAGGUGUCCUCGGAAUGUCCCCACGGACGGCCGCCUUCCUUCCAGGCGGGCCCACUCCCCGCCCCAUCCCCCCCGCAUCCCGCCUUAGCCCCGAGCAGGCCCCCCCCCUCCUCCUCGCACCCGGCCCAGCCCCGUCCCUGCGGGGGUCCCUGUACCCACCAUUACACUGCGCCUCACUCGGCCGCGCCCCCCGGCCCUGCGCCCCCUCGGGACGGGCAGUCCGCGGGCGGCGCGGGCCACGUGCUGGGGUCUGUGCCGUCACUCAUUGUGCUGCAGCCAAUGGGCGGCGCCGGCGCCAGGCCGCCGCCCCGAGGUGCGCACCCCCACGCCCAGAGGGGCGCAGCAGCCGGGGGCCCAGGCACCGCCGGGGGAGGGAGCGCUGCGGCUAACGUCGGCUCCAGCGACCGCCAGAGGCCGGCGAGCACAUGGGGUGCGCGCGCAGUCGUCGACGGAGCAGCCCCCCCGCGGGCGCGACAGCCGAGCGGCGCUGCCCCCCCGCACUCCGAGACCGCGGGCCCAGGGGCGCUGGCCGCGAAUUCGGCACCGCGGGGCACACGCCCCAAGGCCUGCCUUACCCGGACGGGAGGACAAGCGGGGACGCCCAGCACUCAAGGUAGGGCCCGGGAGCCCGGGAAGGGGCGGGCAGGGGGCGUGCCCACGCUCACCCGGCCCGUCCUCCGCAGGCUGACGCUCAGAGGCACUCGGAGCUCCCCGAUCCUCAGCUCCCAGCGAGGCCAACCGUGGGUCCCAAUUCCGGGCUGCAGGGCCGCGCUCCUCCACGCCGGCCUCCCUUGCACGUGGGAAACGCAGAGAGCCUGGGAAUUCCACUGACGCUGGCAUCUGUGAGCCGCACAAUGAAACCCCGUGUCUGAUUUCCUGCCCUGAGCCCUUGAGGGAGAGGGAGUAAGAGGAUUUGGGGGGCUGCGGAGCAGGGACGCUGCUGGUUCUACUGUGAGCCAAGCGGACAGGGAAGGACCCUGAGCUCGUCCCGCCUCGCCGCGCUGUCGGGGCGCCCCGGGCUCCUCGCACACCCCGACCUCGCAGCCGUAGUGAGCACCACGGGCAGGGGAGCACCCGCCCGCCCCCGGCUCCCCGCGCCGGGGGGCCUGGAGCCUGCCGCCUGGGGGGUCCCUGCCGCCCGCCCGGGAGUCUCACCCCCCCAAGGGCAAGGGCGGAGCCGCCCCCAGGAUCCAUCCCGGCGGUCCGGCUCGGGGCCCACGCCGGUUCAGUCCCCAAUCAGGCGGCAGGAGUCAGCAUUCUAGAAACAGUCCCUCCGCGGAGGGAACUGCAGGCGAGCAGCAGGGUCCUCGGCCUGACGGCGGGGACUGCGGGGACGGGCGGCCCGGAGCCCCCCGGAGCCCCGGGGCUGUGGGAGGAACCUGAGGCCCAGGGCGAGGGCAGGAGGGGGGGGCUGGCCUCCGAAGCGAGGGCCCUGGACUCGUGGGGGGACUGCUGUCGCCCGCGGGGAAGGAGGAAGCCACAUGACCCUCCAAGGGGGGACCCCGCGCAGGAGGGGGCUGCUGAGGCCCCGGCUUCCCGCCGCUGGGCUGGCCUGGGCGCCCCACCUCUGCUGUUACCCCCGCCCCCCGCUGCCAUUCCUGCUGCAAUGACUGUGGUUCUUAGGCCUCGUGUGCUUUCCCCACACCUGCCUGGACGCUCCCCUGUGUUUGAAGGAAGCCCCGCACCCAGCCUGGGGCUGGGACGCCCCACCCCGACACCCAGGGGUGCGGCCCUGGCGACCGGCCGCCCAGCUGCGCCUGGCCUGGGCCCCUCGGAUGUCGGCUCUUCCCGUGACGCCUUGCCCUGGGUCCUCGGGUCCGUGUAGCUCAGGGGCUGGUGGCCACGUGCGGAGCGAGUGGCUUUCUACCCCAGUAGUGCAAACCGUGUGUAAAUACCUGUGAGCACCCUCCGUGAGCUCAGCAGGAUUCAAAGGUCAGUCCCUGAGGUGCAGCCCCCUACACACACGCGCACACACGCGCACACACGCUUAACCACGUGAGCAGGCCCUUCUCGGGCUCACCCUCCGCCCUCGGCUGCGUGCUGGCCCGAGGCCCCCCGGGGGUACUCGACUGGGCCCCCCUCUCAGGCCUCAGGAG